Centropristis striata (black sea bass) is the source of this 746-nucleotide long non-coding RNA. RefSeq lists it as uncharacterized. Lineage: Eukaryota; Metazoa; Chordata; Actinopteri; Perciformes; Serranidae. The transcript is spliced from 4 exons. The record is from RefSeq and is a predicted model, not a curated record.
GACACAUUUUAGGACUACCACACCAAAAGUUAAUAACAUGCUAAAUAUAUGAAGAAUUAGAAAUGGACACAUUCAGUUUUGAAUUAUUCACAUAUAAGGAAAUAUAAUUAUAUGUCAUUUGACAUAUAUUUUUUGAAUUAUUCUGUUUUUCACUUUUCACGUCAACCACCCAUAUGUCCUAUACCUUGACAGAAGCCAAAAUGAAGGCAGCAGGAGGAACACAGGCUCUGUCUGUGUCCUCCACCUGUGUCCCAGGAAUGUGUUUGCAUCCUGCCCAGCCAGGACGGACCCCGAGCCAGUUUAUGUGGACAGGCGGUGGAGGUAGAGCCAUGAUAACAGAGCCUUCCUCUCUGCUGCCCUACCAGGGGGUGAAGUGCAUCAUUGCUGUCUGCUGGUGAUGGUUCCUACAGAUGGCCUGCUGCCUGAAGUGUCUUCUCUGUGUAAACAGCCUGCAGUUCUGUCUGAUGCCAGUGAAUAUUUGUCCUGUGACUGUUGGUCUCAGAAGAAUCAUCUCGGCUUCCCAGUUGCACUGAGGAGUGCUGAUUUCAGGAUCUGUGCAUGCAUGAUGAGGUAGCAACGAGGCCGGCCAAUCAGAUCCCACUCUUCGUCUUCACCAAGCCCUUACCUAGUACCAUGGUCAUGUAGCGCUCCUCCACUCCAGCCUCCAGCAGCAGUGGGGGCACGUAUGUGAUCCCAGCUGCCACACAGAUCUCCAGGCCACAGGUCAGGGAGUUCAGCAGGACGAG